Molecule: ribosomal RNA, 369 nt
Filed under: uncultured Lactobacillus sp.
Lineage: Bacteria; Bacillati; Bacillota; Bacilli; Lactobacillales; Lactobacillaceae
Description: partial 16S ribosomal RNA
Rfam family: Bacterial small subunit ribosomal RNA
Source: RNAcentral
CCCGGGAAUUCGAUUGUUUAUCCUGGCUCAGGACGAACGCUGUCGGCGUGCCUAAUACAUGCAAGUCGAGCGAGCUGAAUUCAAGGAUCCCUUCGGGGUGACUUGUUGGACGCGAGCGGCGGAUGGGUGAGUAACACGUGGGCAACCUGCCCUAAAGACUGGGAUACCACUUGGAAACAGGUGCUAAUACCGGAUAACAACGACUUUCACAUUAAAGACACUUUAAAGGCGGCUUUAAGCUGUCACUUUAUGAUGGCCCGCGGUNCAUUANCUANUUGGUGGGGUAACGGCCUACCAAUGCAAUNAUNCAUAUCCGACUUUANANACUUAUCNGCCACAUUUGGAUUUAUACACNNCCCAAACUCCUAC